UUAGGAAUUUUGGGCAAUGGGCGCAAGCCUGACCCAGCAACGCCGCGUGGGUGACGAAGGCCUUCGGGUUGUAAAGCCCUUUUCUGGGGGAAGAUGAUGACGGUACCCCAGGAAGAAGCACCGGCUAACUACGUGCCAGCAGCCGCGGUAAUACGUAGGGUGCAAGCGUUGCCCGGAUUUAUUGGGCGUAAAGGGCGCGCAGGCGGCUGCGCACGUUCGCUGUGAAAGCUCCCGGGCUCAACUGGGAGAGGUCGGCGGAUACGGCGCAGCUGGAGCUCGGUAGGGGGUCGUGGAAUUCCCGGUGUAGUGGUGGAAUGCGUAGAUAUCGGGAGGAACACCAGUGGCGAAGGCGGCGACCUGGACCGAAGCUGACGCUGAGGCGCGAAAGCGUGGGGAGCGAUCCGGAUUAGAUACCCGGGUAGUCCACGCCGUAAACGAUGCACACUAGGUGUCGGGGGUAUCGACCCCCUCGGCGCCGCAGCUAACGCAUUAAGUGUGCCGCCUGGGGACUACGGCCGCAAGGCUAAAACUCAAA
Molecule: ribosomal RNA, 535 nt
Filed under: uncultured bacterium
Lineage: Bacteria
Description: bacterial SSU rRNA
Rfam family: Bacterial small subunit ribosomal RNA
Source: RNAcentral